GGAGGUAUAGCUCAGUGGUAGAGUGCAUGCCUAGCAUGCAUGAGGUCCUGGGUUCAAUUCCCAGUACCUCUA
Molecule: transfer RNA, 72 nt
Filed under: Camelus dromedarius (Arabian camel)
Lineage: Eukaryota; Metazoa; Chordata; Mammalia; Artiodactyla; Camelidae
Also listed under: 1 other name
Rfam family: tRNA
About the family: Transfer RNA (tRNA) molecules are approximately 80 nucleotides in length.
Source: Rfam by way of RNAcentral